GGCGGGAGCCUUGAUGUCAUGAUGCCUUUUAUGAUCCGGGCAGUUUGGAUAUGUGGUUCAAGGCCCGUGGUGUUUUUCAGCAUCUUUGACGAAGCCGCAGAAGUUGAUGGACAAACAAACCUUGUUCAACCAACCAGUGCUAACCGGACGUGAUGCUUGAGCGGUACAUGGGGCAGCAGAUUCAAGUGGCGCUCGCUCGUGGGGAGGUGGCCAGGAGGGGGGCACCACCAGGGCUGCCUGAUUCGUACAAUGGUUUCUGUGUUUGUUAAGAUUCGUCGUGACUUGUUGUGGAAGGCCAAUAAUUAUGAUAAAAGAGGGGCAUGCUUAGUCAGCUGGAAGAAUGUUUGUUGGCCAAAGUCGCUUGGAGGCCUAGGUAUUUUGGACCUCAACUUGUUUAGCAGAGCCCUCCGGCUAAGGUGGAAGUGGUUUGAAUGGACAGACGGGAGGCGGCCAUGGGUUGGAACUACAGUGCCAUGUGACCAAAUUGAUUUAUCCCUAUUUGAUGCUUGCACUCAAUUUUCCGUGGGGAGGGGUAAUAUUGCUAUGUUGUGGACAACAAGGUGCCUGGACGGGGUUGCCCCGGCUGAGAUGGUGCCUAGUUUGUUCAAGCUGACUAGGCUUGAAAAGCUUACGGUUGUACAUGUCAUGCCAUGAUGGAUGACAAGUGGAUGACGGGACUAACCUGGAUCAACACGAAGAUCCAGCUUUGGGAAUUCACAGAGCUAUGGAUCAAGCUGCAAGGGGUAAACCUCACCGAGGAGGAUGAGAUCGCCUAGAAGCUCAAUGCCUCAUCCCAGUAUAGCUUGGCGUCUGGAUAGAAGGCACAGUUCAUCGGGUCUUACCCUGUUAUUGACUACAACAUGCGCUGGAAUUCCAAAGUUCAACCCAACUGUAAUUUUUUUAUGUGGCUUUGGCUGAGGCAGCGUAUUCUGAUGGACAGUAUGCUGCAGGCUAAAGGAAUUGAUCAUGGGAGCAUUGCGCUCUAUGUGAGCGGAAUCAAGAGACGGUUGAUCACCCCAUUAUGGGCUUCCCAUAUGACGGUUGUCUAAAGAGUCUGGUAAUUACUAGCCCAAUGGACGGGUGUUUCCGACCUGCAGAUUCGACGACACCAAUUCUCCUCUCUGGCUGAUUUGUGGAGACACAUGACAGGUAUGUUGUCAAAAGAUGAACUGAUGGUUGCCAGCUAUGGAGAGUGGCACCUAUGGAAGGAACGAUGCCGAAGAGUUUUUCAACAGAAGACACUAAAAUUCAAAAAAAAAAAGCAGAAGACACUAAUUGACCGGCACUGUUGGAACUACUUAAGGAUGAUCUUCUGAUACUGGGAGCCUAUCUACAGGAGAAAGCUCGAAGAGAUGAGACAGGCAUGGAGCCUAUCUACAGGAGAAAGCUCGAAGAGAGAUGAGACAUGCAUGGAGCCUAUUGAGAGCGAGUAGCCCGCUCCGUCUCUGUUUUCCGUUUCUCAUUCUUUUUUCUGUUUUUUUCCCUUGUCAGCCAGAUGCUCUCUAUCUUGUAUCAGACUCUUAUUCGCUGAACUGAAUUGCCACAACAUGCUGUUUUCCUCAAUAUAAAGAAAGAUGUUGUAGUGGGUCU
Molecule: long non-coding RNA, 1590 nt
Organism: Lolium rigidum
Lineage: Eukaryota; Viridiplantae; Streptophyta; Magnoliopsida; Poales; Poaceae
Exons: 3
Source: RefSeq, a predicted model, not a curated record